Molecule: ribosomal RNA, 627 nt
Filed under: uncultured archaeon
Lineage: Archaea
Description: bacterial SSU rRNA
Rfam family: Archaeal small subunit ribosomal RNA
Source: RNAcentral
CGGUUGAUCCUGCCGGACCUGACUGCUAUCGGAUUGAUACUAAGCCAUGCGAGUCAUUGUAGCAAUACAAGGCAGACGGCUCAGUAACGCGUAGUCAACCUAACCUAUGGACGGGAAUAACCUCGGGAAACUGAGAAUAAUGCCCGAUAGAACACUAUACCUGGAAUGGUUUGUGUUCUAAAUGAUUUAUCGCCGUAGGAUGGGACUGCGGCCUAUCAGUUUGUUGGUGAGGUAAUGGCCCACCAAGACUAUUACAGGUACGGGCUCUGAGAGGAGUAGCCCGGAGAUGGGUACUGAGACACGGACCCAGGCCCUAUGGGGCGCAGCAGGCGAGAAAACUUUGCAAUGUGCGAAAGCACGACAAGGUUAAUCCGAGUGAUUUGUGCUAAACGAAUCUUUUGUUAGUCCUAGAACCACUAACGAAUAAGGGGUGGGCAAGUUCUGGUGUCAGCCGCCGCGGUAAAACCAGCACCUCAAGUGGUCAGGAUGAUUAUUGGGCCUAAAGCAUCCGUAGCCGGCUCUGUAAGUUUUCGGUUAAAUCUGUACGCUUAACGUACAGGCUGCCGGGAAUACUGCAGAGCUAGGGAGUGGGAGAGGUAGACGGUACUCGGUAGGAAGGGGUAAAAU